Molecule: transfer RNA, 72 nt
Filed under: Marmota monax (woodchuck)
Lineage: Eukaryota; Metazoa; Chordata; Mammalia; Rodentia; Sciuridae
Rfam family: tRNA
About the family: Transfer RNA (tRNA) molecules are approximately 80 nucleotides in length. Their secondary structure includes four short double-helical elements and three loops (D, anti-codon, and T loops). Further hydrogen bonds mediate the characteristic L-shaped molecular structure. tRNAs have two regions of fundamental functional importance: the anti-codon, which is responsible for specific mRNA codon recognition, and the 3' end, to which the tRNAs corresponding amino acid is attached (by aminoacyl-tRNA synthetases). tRNAs cope with the degeneracy of the genetic code in two manners: having more than one tRNA (with a specific anti-codon) for a particular amino acid; and 'wobble' base-pairing, i.e. permitting non-standard base-pairing at the 3rd anti-codon position.
Source: Rfam by way of RNAcentral
GGGGUUGUGGCUUAGCGGUAGAGCGCUCACCUAGCACAUGUGAGGCACUGGGUUUGAUCCUCAGCAAUUCUC